Long non-coding RNA from Lathyrus oleraceus (garden pea), 1356 nucleotides. RefSeq lists it as uncharacterized. The record is from RefSeq and is a predicted model, not a curated record. Lineage: Eukaryota; Viridiplantae; Streptophyta; Magnoliopsida; Fabales; Fabaceae. The transcript has 3 exons.
GGCUCGUUUGCACCUGUAGCUUGCAGCGGCAUGGCCUUGCUAAUCUCUUUCGAAGGCAAAUACCCUACUUAUGUGCUUCUCAUUACCGACUGUUUUUUCGAUACCACAUCUGUUUGCCUGCAAAGAACUAGUGGGACGUGAAGGAAACGUAUGGUUAUACAGACCAAACUCGAGAGAAAAGGUUCGGCUUCCAGUUGGAUCAUGUGAGCUUGCACUUCCUAUGAGAGGCAGAGAGUUGGCUCACAAUGGGAAUGCUCCAAGAGAAGCCUAUGCAACGAUUCUGCAUUCGGCUCAUGUUUAUGUUUGUGGAGCCAUAGAAUGAAUGGAACUACAACAAAUACAGGUUAUGGCAAAUGUGAUCGGUUAUGGAUCGGGUUGUAUCUGGCAGUUCUGUACUUCUGGAGAUUAUCAUAAAGAUGUUGAUACCGUUGAAUUUUUUGGUCACCACCCAUUUGUUUGCCAAUCAUGUCAUUUUUCAGAUUCCCGAAAAUUGUGAAACCUCGACUCUGCCAUUAACUUGCCUCUGGUGUUCUAAUAAUUUUACAGGAAUGGCAUUCGAAGCAUCUCUGGGACCUGAUAAGGACGCAUGAGUUUUUCAAAUCUAUAACGAGUGUACCAGCGAAAGCAUAUUCCAGGUCUCACACGUCCAGCUCUACCCUGACGCUGCCUUGCAUUUGCUUGAGAAAUCCAAUCUUCAACCAUGCUAGACAAUUUCUUCUGCGGAUUAUAACGAUUCUCCUUAUGUUUUCCACAGUCAAUCACAUAUAUCACAUCAACUAUUGUUAUGCUGGUCUCUGCUAUAUUUGUUGCUAUAACAACCUUGCGUAUAUUUCCUGUAGGGCGUAAAAAAAAACCUUCUUCUGUUCAGUUGACGCAACUAAUGAAUGCAAAGGAGUAAGCCAAUCAGAAGAUGGCCCACCAAACCGGUACGAUGCUGCUAACUUAUCAUGUAAGUGGUUUAUCUCAAACACUCCCGGUAAGAAGACAAGGACGGCACCCUCAAGAUCAUCUAUCUGCAUAAAUUCAGGAAGUGGAAUGCCAUGCUUAGAGAAGUGAACCUUUUGCAGAUACUUAUCCUGAAUAAUUCGUAUAGUAGAGGCUUUAGGUUGACAUACAACUCCUUGUUUCUCAAGUUAUUUAUGCUGCUGGGAUUUACUUCCUUGGUGUAUGACUAUUUAUCUUUACCGGCACUGGCUUUUAUCUGAAUUUUGUAGAAGUCGCAGCCUAGGCUCAGUAGGUAACCAUUUGUAAUAUUUGCACUUGGGUUUUAUUGUACUUUUGCAGUAGAGCAAUAACAUCAUGUAUUUGAACUGAAAAUAAGUGAUCUAAAAGCCCAGCUGAAAAUCUAUUCAUUGU